GACGAACGCUGGCGGCGUGCCUAAUACAUGCAAGUAGAACGCACAGUUUAUACCGUAGCUUGCUACACCAUAGACUGUGAGUUGCGAACGGGUGAGUAACGCGUAGGUAACCUGCCUGGUAGCGGGGGAUAACUAUUGGAAACGAUAGCUAAUACCGCAUAAUAUUAAUUAUUGCAUGAUAAUUAAUUGAAAGGUGCAAUUGCACCACUACCAGAUGGACCUGCGUUGUAUUAGCUAGUAGGUGAGGUAACGGCUCACCUAGGCGACGAUACAUAGCCGACCUGAGAGGGUGCUCGGCAACACUGGGACUGAGACACGGCCCAGACUCCUACGGGAGGCAGCAGUAGGGAAUCUUCGGCAAUGGACGAAAGUCUGACCGAGCAACGCCGCGUGAGUGAAGAAUGUUUUCGGAUCGUAAAGCUCUGUUGUAAGAGAAGAACGGGUGUGAGAGUGGAAAGUUCACACUGUGACGGUAUCUUACCAGAAAGGGACGGCUAACUACGUG
This 505-nucleotide ribosomal RNA is filed under the name uncultured bacterium. Its description in RNAcentral is "partial 16S ribosomal RNA". It matches the Rfam family "Bacterial small subunit ribosomal RNA", at positions 28 to 507 of the family's 1533-position model. The record is from RNAcentral.